GUAGGUGAACCUGCGGAAGGAUCAUUACCGAACUGUCGACACGAGUUGUUGCUGGUCCUCGAAUGGGGGCAUGUGCACGCUCUGUUUACACAUCCACUCACACCUGUGCACCCACCGUAGUUCUAUGGCCUGGGGGGGCUCUGUCCCUCUUGCUGUGGUUCUAUGUCUUUACACACACACACAAAGUAACAAAGUUUUACGGAAUGCAUUGUGCGUUUAACGCAAUACAAUACAACUUUCAGCAACGGAUCUCUUGGCUCUC
Molecule: unclassified non-coding RNA, 262 nt
Filed under: rhizosphere metagenome
Description: partial ribosomal RNA internal transcribed spacer region
Source: RNAcentral